This 397-nucleotide ribosomal RNA is filed under the name uncultured bacterium. Its description in RNAcentral is "partial 16S ribosomal RNA". It matches the Rfam family "Bacterial small subunit ribosomal RNA", at positions 523 to 918 of the family's 1533-position model. The record is from RNAcentral.
AUACGUAGGGGGCGAGCGUUGUCCGGCAUGAUUGGGCGUAAAGGGCGCGUAGGCGGCCCGGUAAGUCUGGAGUGAAAGUCCUGUUUUUAAGAUGGGAAUUGCUUUGGAUACUGUCGGGCUUGAGUGCAGGAGAGGUAAGUGGAAUUCCCAGUGUAGCGGUGAAAUGCGUAGAGAUUGGGAGGAACACCAGUGGCGAAGGCGACUUACUGGACUGUAACUGACGCUGAGGCGCGAAAGUGUGGGGAGCAAACAGGAUUAGAUACCCUGGUAGUCCACACUGUAAACGAUGAAUGCUAGGUGUAGGGGGUAUCGACCCCUUCUGUGCCGCAGUCAACACAAUAAGCAUUCCGCCUGGGGAGUACGGCCGCAAGGUUGAAACUCAAAGGAAUUGACGGGG